AAUCAACGCUGGCGGCGUGCCUCAGACAUGCAAGUCGAACGAUUAAAGCUCUCUUCGGAGAGUGCAUAAAGUGGCGCACGGGUGAGUAACACGUAAGUAAUCUACCUUCGAGUGGGGAAUAACGUCCGGAAACGGACGCUAAUACCGCAUAACGCAGCGGCAUCGCAAGAUGACAGUUGUUAAAGAUUUAUCGCUUGAAGAGGAGCUUGCGGCAGAUUAGCUUGUUGGUAAGGUAACGGCUUACCAAGGCUACGAUCUGUAUCCGGUCUAAGAGGACGGUCGGACACACUGGCACUGAAUAACGGGUCAGACUCCUACGGGAGGCAGCAGUCGGGAAUUUGGGCAAUGGGGGAAACCCUGACCCAGCAACGCCGCGUGAAGGAUGAAGUAUUUCGG
RNAcentral lists this ribosomal RNA (396 nucleotides) under uncultured bacterium. RNAcentral describes it as "bacterial SSU rRNA". It matches the Rfam family "Bacterial small subunit ribosomal RNA", at positions 32 to 421 of the family's 1533-position model. The record is from RNAcentral.